CUAUAAUUUUUUUACCAGCAGUUAGAUACUUGAAAAUUGGAGUGGAUUAAAAUAAACAAAAAACUAUUUCCCAAAUGAAAACAACUUAUCACAUGUUAUAAUUUCUGUUUAUUUAGAACCUUUCCACCUCCAGAUGCUUUUUAAGAUCAGUUCAUAAAAUUCCUUGAACAAGAAAACAUUUCAUCAUGUGGAAAUAAAUAUUUUUCUGCUUUCGCAUAUUUGAUCGGAAAGGGAAGACACAUGCCUCUCCUAAUAUCCCCGCCUGGGAAAUAAAGUAGAAUGGGGAGGAGGAAUGCUGAGUGGUUCUGCGAUCCAGUGAAGAGAGAAAACAAAGACAAUGUGAUAAAGAAAAAGAGGCCUUGUGCUGACUGAAUGCCCUAACCUGAGGGCUUUGCAAUUGCUUAGUCCAUUAUCUACAUCCCCAGGAUCAAAUGUGAGAUAUUUAGAGAUAUUUAUCAAAGAAAGGAGGAAAUAAAGCCACAAAACAAGGUGAAUUAAUGUAGGGAAACCAUUAUGUUAAAUGCAUUUUCAGUAUAGGAGAGCAAAUUCAAAUAAAUGGGUAAAAUACAUGUAUAUAUAAGAAAAUAUGAUUUUAUAAAAUUUCAGAAUAAGCGUGUUAGCAAAAGCAUGUUGGCCGGCAGGAUGUUUCCACUCUUAUCAUCAUGACCACAUUAUGGCUGUAAAGUGAAACAAAAAUAGGACUUAUUAUUAACAUGUCCUUCUAGCAAUGAAUUCUAUGGUAUCAUCUUUUUUAGUGGCAAUCUUUCUUAUUCUCUAGAUGAGAUGAAUAUUUAUGCUUGUCUCCUGUGUUCCAGAUAAAAGGAAAUGAUAGCACAUUCCCUACUAAGUGAAAAAGUUAGCUCUGCACUUAACUGGCUUUCAACUGCAAACUACACAGAAAAUAUUGAUGCAGAUAACAUAACAGGCUUUCAUAAGAAACACGCAGAUUUCAUAGGAAUCCAACAAAUUCACAUCUAUUAA
RNAcentral lists this long non-coding RNA (981 nucleotides) under Canis lupus familiaris (dog). RNAcentral describes it as "lncRNA (ENSCAFG00030019122.1)". The record is from RNAcentral. Lineage: Eukaryota; Metazoa; Chordata; Mammalia; Carnivora; Canidae.